RNAcentral lists this ribosomal RNA (386 nucleotides) under uncultured bacterium. RNAcentral's name for it is "bacterial SSU rRNA". It matches the Rfam family "Bacterial small subunit ribosomal RNA", at positions 29 to 409 of the family's 1533-position model. The record is from RNAcentral.
AUUGAACGCUGGCGGCAUGCCUAACACAUGCAAGUCGAACGGCAGCACAGCAGUAGCAAUACUGUGGGUGGCGAGUGGCGGACGGGUGAGGAAUACGUCGGAAUCUGCCCAGUCGUGGGGGAUAACUAGCCGAAAGGUUAGCUAAUACCGCAUACGACCGAGAGGUGAAAGCGGGGGACCGGCAAGGCCUCGCGCGAUUGGAUGAGCCGACGUCGGAUUAGCUAGUUGGCGGGGUAAAGGCCCACCAAGGCGACGAUCCGUAGCUGGUCUGAGAGGAUGAUCAGCCACACUGGAACUGAGACACGGUCCAGACUCCUACGGGAGGCAGCAGUGGGGAAUAUUGGACAAUGGGCGCAAGCCUGAUCCAGCAAUGCCGCGUGUGUGAA